CCUACGGGUGGCAGCAGUGGGGAAUAUUGGACAAUGGGGGCAACCCUGAUCCAGCGAUGCCGCGUGAGUGAAGAAGGCCUUCGGGUCGUAAAGCUCUUUAGGUUGGGAAGAAGUGUAUUGGGUUAAUACCCUGAUACAUUGACGGUACCGACAGAAUAAGCACCGGCAAACUCUGUGCCAGCAGCCGCGGUAAUACAGAGGGUGCGAGCGUUAAUCGGAUUUACUGGGCGUAAAGGGCGCGUAGGCGGUUCAAUGAGUGUGAUGUGAAAGCCCUG
This 275-nucleotide ribosomal RNA is filed under the name uncultured Aquicella sp. RNAcentral describes it as "partial 16S ribosomal RNA". It matches the Rfam family "Bacterial small subunit ribosomal RNA", at positions 338 to 605 of the family's 1533-position model. The record is from RNAcentral. Lineage: Bacteria; Pseudomonadati; Pseudomonadota; Gammaproteobacteria; Legionellales; Coxiellaceae.